RNAcentral lists this long non-coding RNA (239 nucleotides) under Elaeis guineensis (African oil palm). RNAcentral describes it as "long non-coding RNA (EGUI_LNC023586)". Lineage: Eukaryota; Viridiplantae; Streptophyta; Magnoliopsida; Arecales; Arecaceae. The record is from RNAcentral.
ACAGGCUUUGUUAAUCAUUGUCCUAGAAAGGCAUGUCCUUUUCCUUUCCAACUUCCAAGCUCUGAGGUUGUUGUGCUCCCCUCCAGGCAAAAGUUUUCCCUUCCCUCCUAUUUUAUUCCUAUCACAAGAAUAAAGUGGCAGAUAGUGCCCAAGCAUGGUGAUGGUGGUGCAUGUCAUCACUACUCUCCCUUUUCCAUACAAAAACUAUCCCAACUAACAUCACCUACUCUUUCUUUAUC